AGCGUCCUUGCUCGGGUUUUGUCAAGUUUGUGCUUAGAUUAGUAAGCGUUUGUUUGCGGUAUAGCAGGCACGGUAAAAUUAAGUUAUUAUCCUGUUUAAAACGUGCAUACAUGAAUCCUGUGCAGUCUUUUGUGGGUUUAACAUGCAGUUAAUGACACAGUUGGCUUCUUCCAAGAAGUAAGGAAAAUAGGCCAAUUCUGGACACCUUGUGCUGUGGAGAUUUGAUUGGCAGUCCUUAUGUGUGAUUCCUGAAUGUUGAAGUGUCUUCUAUCCACUAGAAGCAGACGCAAUGAGGGAACUCUGAACACUGUAUGCCAUGGGGUAUGGAUCGUGACAGUCCUGUUUCACUCCACAACAUAUCAGCGUCUAAAAGAAACAUAAAAAUGCUUUUUCCCGAAUGGAUGCAGAAGAAUCUGCUGUCUAUUACUAAAGAAAGGAUUCACAGCAACUAAUUGGUAAGUGGAAACAUUUAUUAAUUGAGAAAAAUAGGUUUGCAUCAAUGAUAUCAGCUUUUAGUCCUUAGGUAAAGUCUAGAUGAAUAGAAAGGAAGUUUUGGUAUUUAUUUUCAUAAUUAUUG
Long non-coding RNA from Agrilus planipennis (emerald ash borer), 577 nucleotides. RefSeq lists it as uncharacterized. Lineage: Eukaryota; Metazoa; Arthropoda; Insecta; Coleoptera; Buprestidae. The transcript is spliced from 3 exons. The record is from RefSeq and is a predicted model, not a curated record.